AGUACGUGUCUUUGAAAAGUUUUUUUUCAUUUUCGAGCAAGUUGUAUUAAUUUGUUUAAAUUGCUUAAAUUUUUCAGAAACUUCACGACGAAACCGUCAUUGACGAAGUAAAAGCAGCCACAAGUGUGACAGCUCCACAGAGACCCACCUCCUGGGUGACUUCAGCCCACGCCUCUUCUGCUUCAUUCGUGUCACGAUAAACCGUAGCAGUGGUGUUGGAGGCCGCACAUGAGUCGAUAAACUUCUCCUCUAUUGUUCUCAAACUUUUUCGCUUAGUUACAAGGAAGUGACGUCAGGAUGAACGCGUUGCUGAUUGAAUGAUCGAACGGAUGCCCACGAAGAGUUCUUUUUUCUGACUUCAUUCGCGUCACGCCACACAUUACAUCACGUACAGUUGAUUAAUUACCCUGGUGAUUAAUAUCUACCUCUUGGGGCAGUGGUGGGUUAGGCCAGGUUACCACUGAGGAUGAUGGGUAAAUACAGAGGUCACAUCUCGUUGUGUGCUGUGUCAUAAUCAUAAUUUUGUGACCAAUUGACAGCCACGCUGACAUGAACAUGAACCAGUUCUAAAGAAUUCGAGGAAACGUUUUAGUUUUUAUUCACAUUCAGCUGAUUCAAAAGUCAGAAGUGGAGAAAACACAGACAACGCAGGCGUUAGAGCUGGGAAUCAAACCACUGACCUACCUGCUGUGAGGCAUGAUGUCAAUUGGACUAACAUCACCAUGACAACAGUGUCCAGCUGGUUUACAUGGUACAUUUAUUAGUGAACUCUCAGAUCAGCCACAACAGUUCAAAGAAACGUGAUUGCACGACUUGGUGAAGCAGAACUUCAUUAAAAAAAGUACAAAUCUUAAAAAUUCCAAACAGUAAACAGACGUUUAUAUCGAUGCUAACUAGUUAUGUUAAUGCUACCAACCAUAUGAUUCCAAUGGAAUGAAAAAUGAUAACAUUAAUAUGAACCAUCUCCUAUAUAUAAUAUAUAUAAUAUAUAUUAGUUGUGCCCCCCCCCCCCCCCCCCCCAUGUCCCAAUCCAAACAUGGAAACAAAAUGAGGUAACUGUAAAAGUGCAAGGACCAAAGCAAGAAAACUAAAUUUGCCAAACACAAAACCCAACUGUGUCUCUGCUGGCGGGUGGUCGGUGUGGUGUUCAGGUGAGCACCCCGAGUGGCCAGGAGGAGUAAGAACAGGAAACCACAAUCCCAGAACAAAACAGAACAAGAAACCAGUUUGGUAAUAAAUAUCUGGCGUCUACGACCAAUCAGCUGCGAAUCCUAAACAAACUUUAGCUGCUUAUUGGACACGAUUUUUUCUGCUGCACCACACAAGCUGUGAGAGGUUCAAACCAACGACCAACAGAAAGACUACAAGACUCCAGUCUGUCGUCAUAAAAGACCGUCCACCGGCACAGGAAGCUGAAGAUGA
Long non-coding RNA from Cynoglossus semilaevis (tongue sole), 1422 nucleotides. RefSeq lists it as uncharacterized. The transcript is spliced from 2 exons. The record is from RefSeq and is a predicted model, not a curated record. Lineage: Eukaryota; Metazoa; Chordata; Actinopteri; Pleuronectiformes; Cynoglossidae.